This 400-nucleotide ribosomal RNA is filed under the name Streptomycetaceae bacterium ACTS15. Its description in RNAcentral is "bacterial SSU rRNA". It matches the Rfam family "Bacterial small subunit ribosomal RNA", at positions 42 to 445 of the family's 1533-position model. Lineage: Bacteria; Bacillati; Actinomycetota; Actinomycetes; Kitasatosporales; Streptomycetaceae. The record is from RNAcentral.
GCGUGCUUAACACAUGCAAGUCGAACGAUGAAGCCCUUCGGGGUGGAUUAGUGGCGAACGGGUGAGUAACACGUGGGCAAUCUGCCCUGCACUCUGGGACAAGCCCUGGAAACGGGGUCUAAUACCGGAUACUGAUCGCCUUGGGCAUCCUUGGUGAUCGAAAGCUCCGGCGGUGCAGGAUGAGCCCGCGGCCUAUCAGCUUGUUGGUGAGGUAAUGGCUCACCAAGGCGACGACGGGUAGCCGGCCUGAGAGGGCGACCGGCCACACUGGGACUGAGACACGGCCCAGACUCCUACGGGAGGCAGCAGUGGGGAAUAUUGCACAAUGGGCGAAAGCCUGAUGCAGCGACGCCGCGUGAGGGAUGACGGCCUUCGGGUUGUAAACCUCUUUCAGCAGGGA